AACGAACGCUGGCGGCAUGCCUAACACAUGCAAGUCGAACGAGACCUUCGGGUCUAGUGGCGCACGGGUGCGUAACGCGUGGGAAUCUGCCCUUGGGUUCGGAAUAACAGCGAGAAAUUGCUGCUAAUACCGGAUGAUGACGUAAGUCCAAAGAUUUAUCGCCCAAGGAUGAGCCCGCGUAGGAUUAGCUUGUUGGCGAGGUAAGAGCUCACCAAGGCGACGAUCCUUAGCUGGUCUGAGAGGAUGAUCAGCCACACUGGGACUGAGACACGGCCCAGACUCCUACGGGAGGCAGCAGUGGGGAAUAUUGGACAAUGGGCGAAAGCCUGAUCCAGCAAUGCCGCGUGAGUGAUGAAGGCCUUAGGGUUGUAAAGC
RNAcentral lists this ribosomal RNA (375 nucleotides) under uncultured soil bacterium. Its description in RNAcentral is "bacterial SSU rRNA". It matches the Rfam family "Bacterial small subunit ribosomal RNA", at positions 29 to 431 of the family's 1533-position model. The record is from RNAcentral.